UACGUAGGGGGCAAGCGUUGUCCGGAUUUAUUGGGCGUAAAGAGCGUGUAGGCGGCCAGGUAGGUCCGUUGUGAAAACUCGAGGCUCAACCUCGAGACGCCGAUGGAAACCAUCUGGCUAGAGUCCGGAAGAGGAGAGUGGAAUUCCUGGUGUAGCGGUGAAAUGCGCAGAUAUCGGGAAGAACACCCGUGGCGAAGGCGGCUCUCUGGGACGGUACUGACGCUGAGACGCGAAAGCGUGGGGAGCGAACGGG
Molecule: ribosomal RNA, 253 nt
Filed under: uncultured bacterium
Lineage: Bacteria
Description: partial 16S ribosomal RNA
Rfam family: Bacterial small subunit ribosomal RNA
Source: RNAcentral